GUUUACAACCAUGCUACCUUGAACAAGCCUGAUUCCGUCUGAUCUCGGAAGCUAAGCAGGGUUGGGCCUGGUUAGUAUUUGGAUGGGAGACCACCUAGGAAGACCAGGUGCAGUAGGCG
This 119-nucleotide ribosomal RNA is filed under the name Pteropus alecto (black flying fox). Lineage: Eukaryota; Metazoa; Chordata; Mammalia; Chiroptera; Pteropodidae. The record is from RNAcentral.